UCUCCUGGUUAUAGAAUUAUCUGCUGGGA
RNAcentral lists this non-coding RNA (29 nucleotides) under Rattus norvegicus (Norway rat). The record is from RNAcentral. Lineage: Eukaryota; Metazoa; Chordata; Mammalia; Rodentia; Muridae.